This is a non-coding RNA of Arvicola amphibius (Eurasian water vole), 1114 nucleotides long. NCBI's taxonomy places the organism in Eukaryota, Metazoa, Chordata, Mammalia, Rodentia, Cricetidae. The record is from the annotation of a RefSeq genome assembly.
AUGGAGAGGAAACUGAGAGCUGUGCUGGGGAUUCUGUGGGUGCAGAUUUGCUGGGUGAGAGGAGUUGAGGUGGAGCAGAGUCCUUCAAACCUGAGUCUCCAAGAGGGAACCAGUUCUGUUCUCACAUGCAACUUUUCUACAAGCAUGAGAAGUGUGCAGUGGUUCCGGCAGAAUUCCAGGGGAAGCCUCAUCAAUCUUUUCUAUCUGUCUCCGGGAACACAGCAGAAUGGGAGGUUAAACUCAACCUUCAACUCUAAGGAGCGCAAGAGCACCCUUCACAUCAGGGAUGCCCAGCUGGAGGACUCUGGCACCUACCUCUGUGCAGCAGAGCAUGGUGGUAGAAGACUCAUCUUUGGGACCGGCACUCUGCUUUCUGUCAAGCCAAACAUCCCGGACCCAAAACCAGCUGUGUACCAGCUAAGAGAUGCUCAGGCCAAGAACAGCACCAUCUGCCUGUUCACCGACUUCAGUUCCCAAGUCAACAAGUCAGAGGACAUGCCACCUGAAGUGUUUGUCUCCAAAAACACCGUGCUGGACAUGCGGUCUAUGGAUUCCAAGAGCAAUGGGGCCAUUGCCUGGAGUGACCACAGUAGUUUGAACUGUAAAGACGCCUUCAGACAGAAUGCCUCCUACCCCAGCUCAGAUGUUCCCUGUGAUGCCAAGUUGAUAGAGAAAAGCUUUGAAACAGAUAUGAACCUCAACUUUCAAAACCUGUCAGUGAUGGGGCUCCGAAUCCUGCUCCUGAAAGUGGCCGGAUUUAACCUGCUCAUGACGCUGCGGCUGUGGUCCAGUUGAGGUUUCCAGACUGAAGGAGGCUGAACUCCCAAGCUCUUUCCUCUCAUCACCCCUCCUCGCCCUCUUCAAGUGAAAAGGAGCCCGCCCACCUCCUAAAGAAGGCUCUCGGGUCUGAGCAGCUCACAACCCCAUCAACUCUGUCUCCUGAAUCUGUGAUGGAGACUGCUGAAGAUCCGCUACUACUCCACUUCCUCACUGCUGCCGGCCACUCAAGACAGGCAGUGGCUGCUGCUUCUCCUGGAUGUGAAGACCCUUCACACACACCCCUGCUCGCCCCCACCCCCAACCCUACCCCCACCCCCACCCCCACCCUCGCGAC